This 653-nucleotide long non-coding RNA is filed under the name Coffea arabica (coffee). RNAcentral describes it as "long non-coding RNA (CARA_LNC004087)". Lineage: Eukaryota; Viridiplantae; Streptophyta; Magnoliopsida; Gentianales; Rubiaceae. The record is from RNAcentral.
UUGAAUAGAUAGAUGGGCUCAUCCAAACGCGAUUAUCAAUGAUAGGCUCAUCUCAUGUUCGAAUUGAACCCGAAAAGCUGUCGUGGCUGCUUCUUUGGUAACAUACUUUAAGAGAAUGUUCAUAAUCUGUGCUAUACUUUUCACAAAAUUCCUUCAGUAAGGGGAGGCUACAAUUGUUCUGCAUUAUAUGUAUUCUAUCUGACCUGUUGCUUUUAUGUUUGUUAAUGCGGGGCCAGCCAGAUGCCUUCUAUGAUAGCAACAAAAAGGAUUGGACCCAACCCCAUCGCCCAUAUGGUGAAGAAUAUUGCAGAACAAUUCAGAUUGGCACAAAGUCUAGAAAUGUUGCUGUCAAGAUUUGGAACGAGGACUCGGAUGACUUACAAGUGAUUUUAUUUUCUGUGUUUUAUAGGAAGAAGCAAGGUUCCUGAAGGAUGAAACUUUGUGAAUGUGAUCGGUACAUGUUGUGAAGAAAAUGCAAAGGGCACUCACUAUCUAUGACAUCGAUGCCUUGCAUAACAUGACGACAACAAUUUGAGGAUUUCUCUCAUUGAACAAUUUGAAUCUGUUUUCUGGUGUGCUGUUGUAAAAAUGUAUGUGUAAUGGUGGAAGUUGUCGUAGACGCUUCACAUAUUUGUGCCUAAGUUUGUUGCAGC